UUGAAAGGAACGGAAGAAAAAGGAACAAGGAAAUAAAUGAGGAACAAAAAGGUGAAAACGACAGAAAAAAUGAAGAAGAGGCAGGAACUGACGUCAAAUUUUGGGAAGAGAGAGAAAAAUGAAAAAAUAAACUAAAAUAAUAAUAAAAAACCUAUUUGAGUAAUAUCCUAACUCUCCACAACAACUACAUCCCAUAAUAUCCUCCCAACUAACCACAUCCAACUACUUUAGACUCUCAACUCCACCGAACCUCUAACAGACAACCAGAACAAAAAUUAUCACCCAUGCUCACGCAGGGAUUUGAACAUAAGACCUCCAACACACUAACUCCUUACCACUCGAACCAGCAGACUCAUUCUGAUAGGGCUUAUAAAUAAUUUUACAUAAGCCCACCCACAGGGAUAAGGCUUGAAUCAAAAAUAACAAAAUUUCCAAAAGUG
RNAcentral lists this long non-coding RNA (440 nucleotides) under Gossypium barbadense (sea-island cotton). RNAcentral describes it as "long non-coding RNA (GBAR_LNC022424)". The record is from RNAcentral. Lineage: Eukaryota; Viridiplantae; Streptophyta; Magnoliopsida; Malvales; Malvaceae.